This 466-nucleotide ribosomal RNA is filed under the name uncultured bacterium. RNAcentral's name for it is "bacterial SSU rRNA". It matches the Rfam family "Bacterial small subunit ribosomal RNA", at positions 30 to 491 of the family's 1533-position model. The record is from RNAcentral.
AUUGAACGCUGGCGGCAUGCCUAACACAUGCAAGUCGAGCGGCAGCGCGGGGCAACCUGGCGGCGAGCGGCGGACGGGUGAGGAAUACAUCGGAAUUUACCCUUUUGUGGGGGAUAACUCAGGGAAACUUGAGCUAAUACCGCAUGAACUCGAGAGAGCAAAGCUGGGGACCUUCGGGCCUGGCGCAGGAGGAUGAGCUGAUGUCGGAUUAGCUAGUUGGUAGGGUAAAGGCCUACCAAGGCGACGAUCCGUAGCUGGUCUGAGAGGAUGAUCAGCCACACUGGAACUGAGACACGGUCCAGACUCCUGCGGGAGGCAGCAGUGGGGAAUAUUGGACAAUGGGGGCAACCCUGAUCCAGCAAUGCCGCGUGUGUGAAGAAGGCCUGCGGGUUGUAAAGCACUUUUGUUCGAGAAGAAAUCGUGUGUAUGAAUAGUGCAUAUGGAUGACGGUAUCGAAAGAAUAAGC